UCCAGUGUAAGAUAUAUUAAUUAU
This 24-nucleotide non-coding RNA is filed under the name Arabidopsis thaliana (thale cress). Lineage: Eukaryota; Viridiplantae; Streptophyta; Magnoliopsida; Brassicales; Brassicaceae. The record is from RNAcentral.